This 73-nucleotide transfer RNA is filed under the name Cricetulus griseus (Chinese hamster). It matches the Rfam family "tRNA". From Rfam's summary of the family: Transfer RNA (tRNA) molecules are approximately 80 nucleotides in length. Their secondary structure includes four short double-helical elements and three loops (D, anti-codon, and T loops). The record is from Rfam by way of RNAcentral. Lineage: Eukaryota; Metazoa; Chordata; Mammalia; Rodentia; Cricetidae.
UGGGCUGUAACUCAGUUGAUAGAGUGCUUGCUUAGCAUUCAUGAGGGCCUGGGUUCGAUUCCCAGCACUGUAG